UAAUUGAAGAGUUUGAUCAUGGCUCAGAUUGAACGCUGGCGGCAGGCCUAACACAUGCAAGUCGAGCGGUAACAGGGGAAGCUUGCUUCCCGCUGACGAGCGGCGGACGGGUGAGUAAUGUAUGGGGAUCUGCCCGAUAGAGGGGGAUAACUACUGGAAACGGUAGCUAAUACCGCAUAAUCUCUCAGGAGCAAAGCAGGGGAACUUCGGUCCUUGCACUAUCGGAUGAACCCAUAUGGGAUUAGCUAGUUGGUGAGGUAAUGGCUCACCAAGGCGACGAUCCCUAGCUGGUCUGAGAGGAUGAUCAGCCACACUGGGACUGAGACACGGCCCAGACUCCUACGGGAGGCAGCAGUGGGGAAU
This 363-nucleotide ribosomal RNA is filed under the name Providencia rettgeri. RNAcentral's name for it is "bacterial SSU rRNA". It matches the Rfam family "Bacterial small subunit ribosomal RNA", at positions 1 to 362 of the family's 1533-position model. The record is from RNAcentral. Lineage: Bacteria; Pseudomonadati; Pseudomonadota; Gammaproteobacteria; Enterobacterales; Morganellaceae.